RNAcentral lists this ribosomal RNA (403 nucleotides) under uncultured prokaryote. Its description in RNAcentral is "bacterial SSU rRNA". It matches the Rfam family "Bacterial small subunit ribosomal RNA", at positions 355 to 774 of the family's 1533-position model. The record is from RNAcentral.
UAGGGAAUAUUGGGCAAUGGGGGAAACCCUGACCCAGCAACGCCGCGUGAGGGAAGAAGGCCUAACGGUUGUAAACCUCUGUCAUAUGGGAAGAAGGAAUGACAAUACCAUAUGAGGAAGCUCCGGCUAACUACGUGCCAGCAGCCGCGGUAAUACGUAGGGAGCAAGCGUUGUCCGGAAUUACUGGGCGUAAAGGGUGCGUAGGCGGCAUGUUAAGUUAGAUGUCAAAUACCCGGGCUUAACCCGGGGACGCAUCUAAAACUGGCGUGCUUGAGUGCAGGAGAGGAAAGCGGAAUUCCUAGUGUAGCGGUGGAAUGCGUAGAUAUUGGAAGGAACACCAGUGGCGAAGGCGACUGCCUGGAUAGAUACUGACACUGAGACACGAAAGCGUGGGUAGCAAACA